AGUGAACGCUGGCGGCGUGGAUUAGGCAUGCAAGUCGAACGAUCCCGCAAGGGAUAGUGGCAAAAGGGUGAGUAACACGUGAGCAAUCUGCCUUUGAGUGGGGAACAACCUUGGGAAACCGAGGCUAAAACCGCAUAAGACCACGGCUCGGCAUCGAGCUGAGGUAAAAGACGGGGACCGCAAGGCCUGUCGCUUGAAGAUGAGCUCGCGUCCUAUCAGCUUGUUGGUGAGGUAACGGCCUACCAAGGCGACGAUCAGUAGCUGGUCUGAGAGGACGAUCAGCCACACUGGGACUGAGACACGGCCCAGACUCCUACGGGAGGCAGCAGUGGGGAAUUUUGGACAAUGGGCGAAAGCCUGAUCCAGCAAUGCCGCGUGUGUGAAGAAGGCCUUCGGGUUGUAAAGCACUUUUGUCCGGAAAGAAAUGGCUCUGGUUAAUACCUGGGGUCGAUGACGGUACCGGAAGAAUAAGGACCGGCUAACUACGUGCCAGCCGCCGCCGUAA
RNAcentral lists this ribosomal RNA (505 nucleotides) under uncultured bacterium. Its description in RNAcentral is "partial 16S ribosomal RNA". It matches the Rfam family "Bacterial small subunit ribosomal RNA", at positions 29 to 523 of the family's 1533-position model. The record is from RNAcentral.